This 457-nucleotide unclassified non-coding RNA is filed under the name Hevea brasiliensis (rubber tree). The record is from RNAcentral. Lineage: Eukaryota; Viridiplantae; Streptophyta; Magnoliopsida; Malpighiales; Euphorbiaceae.
GCCGCCGGUUGUCGCUGCUCGCACGUCUUCUCUUUUUCAGCUGAUAUAAGCCCAAAAUUGUAGCUUAUGUUUGGACUAAACUACAAAUUGGUUAAGGUGCUCCCAUCGACAAUACACUAUUGGAGAACGAGUGCAGAGGUCUGAUAUUUCUCGUUCAAGUGUCGACUCAACGCCGAGAGAAGUCGCCUUUUUUGGUUGAGAAAAACCUCGAAACUGCCCUUUGGCUCAUCUUAAUGUAACUAUUAUUGGGACAGAGAAGAUAAGAACAUUGUUUUUGUGAAAUCAGAUGUCGACAGCAACAUACCCACCACCCCCUCCGUUUUAUAGGCUGUACAAGGACUAUCUUCAAGACCCCAAGUCUGCUCCGGAACCUCCCCCUCCAAUUGAGGGCACCUAUGUCCUCUUUGGUAGCAACUACACUGUAAAGUCUCUGACCCGUUCUUCUACUCCCUUUUGA